GAGCCAGAACACAGGUGCUGCAUGGCCGUCGUCAGCUCGUGUCGUGAGAUGUUGGGUUAAGUCCCGCAACGAGCGCAACCCUUGUCAUUAGUUGCUACGAAAGGGCACUCUAAUGAGACUGCCGGUGACAAACCGGAGGAAGGUGGGGAUGACGUCAGGUCAUCAUGGCCCUUAUGGGUAGGGCUACACACGUCAUACAAUGGCCGGGACAGAGGGCUGCCAACCCGCGAGGGGGAGCUAAUCCCAGAAACCCGGUCGUAGUCCGGAUCGUAGUCUGCAACUCGACUGCGUGAAGUCGGAAUCGCUAGUAAUCGCGGAUCAGCU
RNAcentral lists this ribosomal RNA (324 nucleotides) under uncultured bacterium. RNAcentral's name for it is "bacterial SSU rRNA". It matches the Rfam family "Bacterial small subunit ribosomal RNA", at positions 1024 to 1354 of the family's 1533-position model. The record is from RNAcentral.